RNAcentral lists this ribosomal RNA (411 nucleotides) under Macaca ochreata (booted macaque). RNAcentral describes it as "partial 12S ribosomal RNA". It matches the Rfam family "Bacterial small subunit ribosomal RNA", at positions 925 to 1522 of the family's 1533-position model. Lineage: Eukaryota; Metazoa; Chordata; Mammalia; Primates; Cercopithecidae. The record is from RNAcentral.
CCCUAGAGGAGCCUGUUCCAUAAUCGAUAAACCCCGAUCCACCUCACCCUCUCUUGCUUAGCCUAUAUACCGCCAUCUUCAGCAAACCCUGAUAAAGGUUACAAAGUGAGCACAAACGCCCUGCCGCCGCAAAAACGUUAGGUCAAGGUGUAGCCAAUGAAAGGGUAAAAAUGGGCUACAUUUUCUACAUCAGAAAACCCCACGAAAACUCUUAUGAAACCUGAGAGUCCAAGGAGGAUUUAGCAGUAAAUUAAGAAUAGAGUGCUUAAUUGAACCAGGCCAUAAAGCGCGUACACACCGCCCGUCACUCCCCUCAAAUAUAUUUAAGGAACAUCUUAACUAAACGCCCUAAUAUUUAUAUAGAGGGGAUAAGUCGUAACAUGGUAAGUGUACUGGAAGGUGCACUUGGAC